This 490-nucleotide long non-coding RNA is filed under the name Pongo abelii (Sumatran orangutan). RNAcentral's name for it is "lincRNA". Lineage: Eukaryota; Metazoa; Chordata; Mammalia; Primates; Hominidae. The record is from RNAcentral.
AGUCUGUCUCAGCACACACUCACACAUGCAUGCUCAUACCCGUGCUGAGUGAAUCCAGUUAAUUCCCAGAGAACUGCAAAUAAAGUGUCAGCACUUUAGGACGCUGCAUCAAAUACCAUUCUACAAAAGAGGAGAGCUUUAGCCAGUUCUCUUCACCACUUCCAAAGCGAGGAUGAAAAUUCCACCUGUUCGUCAAAACUCAGCCAGAGCUCAGCCUCCCUCCAAUGAGAAAAUAUUCCCUGUGCUACAAGCUGAAGCCACAAAGACCAGUGUCGGUGGAGGAGACCCUAGUGCCCACAAAUAAAGCCCAGCACUGUACAUCCACGUAAAGUCCUGUGAAGACAGAAAUAAGGGAGAAAUUAAUGCUGAGGGAGAAAUUAAGGAUUUAGUAGGGUCUCAUAAAGUCUUUGGAACCAGAUCUGAUUGUUUCCUUUAGUUAAAUUCACUCAAACAUGCAAGCAUUUGUAUAAACAUCAGUGUUUUUUUCAGU